UUCCAGCUCCAAUAGCAUAUACUAAAAUUGCUGCAGUUAAAAAGCUCGUAGUUGGACUUCUGUGAGAUUGGUUUUGUUCGUACUGCGGUACGGGCGAUACUUCUCUUACAUCCUUCUGUUAACCUUAUUCGCCUUAACCGGCGGGUUUGUGAGCUCAGAUACUUUACCUUGAGUAAAUUAGAGUGUUUCAGGCAGGCUUUCGCUUGAAUACAUUAGCAUGGAAUAAUAGAAAAGGACUUCGUUCAUUUCA
This 250-nucleotide ribosomal RNA is filed under the name uncultured archaeon. Its description in RNAcentral is "partial 16S ribosomal RNA". It matches the Rfam family "Eukaryotic small subunit ribosomal RNA", at positions 583 to 841 of the family's 1831-position model. The record is from RNAcentral.